AGUUGGAGGACUUUCUGGUCGGACUAGGAAGUUCAAUGUAGCAGAAGUUUCUUCAGACAGAGACUUAGGAAGGCGUGUUUGAUUACAGCAGGAGCAAGUACAGUAUUUCGUACAAAAGCUGGCAGCUCUAAGCUCUCAGUUUUUAGAAAUUUGAUUUGAUUCCAUCCUCCCUGGGUUUCAGCAGCUUUACUAGUGUGGACACCAGAACUUAACACAGUUUAAAAUAUCUAUCCAUUAGUGCUAUGUACAAAGCAUCACACUGGACACUUAAAGUGAGAUGCUUUUCUGCUAGAAUUCCUGCAGAAGAAAAUGAUCCAGGAGGCCAUUUAUAUAUAUAUAAAGAUCAAGCAUCACAUUUAGAGAAAGAAAUCCUGAAGGUCUUGGAUGUUGCUCAGGACAAACUUAAAGGACAUUUAAGGAGAGUAGUUGCAUCUUUUUCCCUUGCAGACCAACUCUGAAAAGA
Molecule: long non-coding RNA, 463 nt
Organism: Cygnus atratus (black swan)
Lineage: Eukaryota; Metazoa; Chordata; Aves; Anseriformes; Anatidae
Exons: 4
Source: RefSeq, a predicted model, not a curated record